AGGUGAUUUGAAAACUUCUCUCUUCAGACAAUCAAGUUUUCUUUUCUACCCAUUUACCAUUUUGACAGCAAAAUUAAGAAAUUCAGAUGACAACUUGUCUGAGGGAGAAAACCUAAAGAGAAUAACUCAAAACUGUCAGAUGGCUAUAAAGAAAGAGGCUUGCUUACCUGGCCACGACUAUAGAAAACACUGGGGGAAGACAGCUUGGAGGAGUGGGCAGGCAAAGAGGAACAAGGACCAACUUCUUGUUGAACUAUUAUUUGUAUUGUGUGGAAAAGAACCUGCUAAUACCUCCAGAACCCAGGAUGGAAACAUUGAAAACUGGGCUUGCCAGAGAUGCAGCGCGAGACAAAGAAUUUCAUCAGUCAGAAGGAAAUCAACGUGAGGUCAGCAGCCUGAGGAUCACCAGAAGGUAUUUCCAAAUUUUCCAAAGGGCCACCAAUGUCUAGAGAAGCUGCUUGAAACUAUAUCUUCAACAGUAAACUUGCUUUGGUAAACAUGA
This is a long non-coding RNA of Felis catus (domestic cat), 502 nucleotides long. RefSeq lists it as uncharacterized. NCBI's taxonomy places the organism in Eukaryota, Metazoa, Chordata, Mammalia, Carnivora, Felidae. The transcript has 2 exons. The record is from RefSeq and is a predicted model, not a curated record.